Long non-coding RNA from Helianthus annuus (common sunflower), 161 nucleotides. RefSeq lists it as uncharacterized. NCBI's taxonomy places the organism in Eukaryota, Viridiplantae, Streptophyta, Magnoliopsida, Asterales, Asteraceae. The record is from RefSeq and is a predicted model, not a curated record. The transcript has 2 exons.
UCUAGGAUAAUCGUUUUCCGUUCGUUCGGUUUCUCAACUUUUACUCGUGCGUUAUUUUACAAGGAAUCGCAAACGCAACCACUGUGAACAGGUACGAAGAGAAGAUUGGACAUAGGAUGGGCCUUAGUUAACAAGAAACGGAUUAGUGUAGUUUAUUUAUG